This 466-nucleotide ribosomal RNA is filed under the name Carabhydrus niger. RNAcentral's name for it is "partial 16S ribosomal RNA". The stretch from base 342 to 466 matches the Rfam family "Bacterial large subunit ribosomal RNA", at positions 2473 to 2597 of the family's 2925-position model. Lineage: Eukaryota; Metazoa; Arthropoda; Insecta; Coleoptera; Dytiscidae. The record is from RNAcentral.
AGUAAUUUAAUGGCCGCAGUAAUUUGACUGUGCAAAGGUAGCAUAAUCAUUAGUUUUUUAAUUAAAAGCUUGAAUGAAUGAUUGGACGAAAUAAAGUCUGUCUUUAUAUUAAAUAUAGAACUUAAUUUUUAAGUAAAAAAGCUUAAAUAUUAGUAAAAGACGAGAAGACCCUAUAGAUCUUUAUACAAUAUAGUUUAUUUUUAAUUAAGAUUAUUUAAUGAAUUAGAUUUUAUUGUAUUUUAUUGGGGUAAUAAAAAGAUUAAUUAAAUUCUUUAUUUAUUUUACAAAAAUUCUUGAAUUAAUGAUCCUUUAUUAUGGAUUUAAGAUUAAGUUACCUUAGGGAUAACAGCGUAAUUUUUUUAGAGAGUUCUUAUCGAUAAAAAAGUUUGCGACCUCGAUGUUGGAUUAAAAAUUAAUUUUAGGUGUAGUAGUUUAAAAUUUUGGUCUGUUCGACCAUUGAAUUUUU